Molecule: ribosomal RNA, 726 nt
Filed under: uncultured bacterium
Lineage: Bacteria
Description: bacterial SSU rRNA
Rfam family: Bacterial small subunit ribosomal RNA
Source: RNAcentral
GGUAGUCCACGCCGUAAACGAUGUCGACUUGGAGGUUGUGCCCUUGAGGCGUGGCUUCCGGAGCUAACGCGUUAAGUCGACCGCCUAGGGAGUACGGCCGCAAGGUUAAAACUCAAAUGAAUUGACGGGGGCCCGCACAAGCGGUGGAGCAUGUGGUUUAAUUCGAUGCAACGCGAAGAACCUUACCUACUCUUGACAUCCAGAGAACUUAGCAGAGAUGCUUUGGUGCCUUCGGGAACUCUGAGACAGGUGCUGCAUGGCUGUCGUCAGCUCGUGUUGUGAAAUGUUGGGUUAAGUCCCGCAACGAGCGCAACCCUUAUCCUUUGUUGCCAGCGGUUAGGCCGGGAACUCAAAGGAGACUGCCAGUGAUAAACUGGAGGAAGGUGGGGAUGACGUCAAGUCAUCAUGGCCCUUACGAGUAGGGCUACACACGUGCUACAAUGGCGCAUACAAAGAGAAGCGACCUCGCGAGAGCAAGCGGACCUCAUAAAGUGCGUCGUAGUCCGGAUUGGAGUCUGCAACUCGACUCCAUGAAGUCGGAAUCGCUAGUAAUCGUAGAUCAGAAUGCUACGGUGAAUACGUUCCCGGGCCUUGUACACACCGCCCGUCACACCAUGGGAGUGGGUUGCAAAAGAAGUAGGUAGCUUAACCUUCGGGAGGGCGCUUACCACUUUGUGAUUCAUGACUGGGGUGAAGUCGUAACAAGGUAACCGUAGGGGAACCUGC